Molecule: ribosomal RNA, 517 nt
Filed under: uncultured microorganism
Description: bacterial SSU rRNA
Rfam family: Bacterial small subunit ribosomal RNA
Source: RNAcentral
GAGUUUGAUCGUGGCUCAGAUUGAACGCUGGCGGCAGGCCUAACGCAUGCAAGUCGAGCGGAUGAAGGGAGCUUGCUCCUGGAUUCAGCGGCGGACGGGUGAGUAAUGCCUAGGAAUCUGCCUGGUAGUGGGGGAUAACGUCCGGAAACGGGCGCUAAUACCGCAUACGUCCUGAGGGAGAAAGUGGGGGAUCUUCGGACCUCACGCUAUCAGAUGAGCCUAGGUCGGAUUAGCUAGUUGGUGGGGUAAAGGCCUACCAAGGCGACGAUCCGUAACUGGUCUGAGAGGAUGAUCAGUCACACUGGAACUGAGACACGGUCCAGACUCCUACGGGAGGCAGCAGUGGGGAAUAUUGGACAAUGGGCGAAAGCCUGAUCCAGCCAUGCCGCGUGUGUGAAGAAGGUCUUCGGAUUGUAAAGCACUUUAAGUUGGGAGGAAGGGCAGUAAGUUAAUACCUUGCUGUUUUGACGUUACCAACAGAAUAAGCACCGGCUAACUUCGUGCCAGCCGCCGCCGU